This 253-nucleotide ribosomal RNA is filed under the name uncultured bacterium. RNAcentral describes it as "partial 16S ribosomal RNA". It matches the Rfam family "Bacterial small subunit ribosomal RNA", at positions 524 to 776 of the family's 1533-position model. The record is from RNAcentral.
UACGGAGGGUGCAAGCGUUAUCCGGAUUCACUGGGUUUAAAGGGUGCGUAGGUGGGCAGGUAAGUCAGUGGUGAAAUCUCCAGGCUUAACUUGGAAACUGCCAUUGAUACUAUCAAUCUUGAAUACCGUGGAGGUCAGCGGAAUAUGUCAUGUAGCGGUGAAAUGCUUAGAUAUGACAUAGAACACCAAUUGCGAAGGCAGCUGGCUACACGAAUAUUGACACUGAUGCACGAAAGCGUGGGGAUCAAACAGG